This 501-nucleotide ribosomal RNA is filed under the name uncultured bacterium. Its description in RNAcentral is "partial 16S ribosomal RNA". It matches the Rfam family "Bacterial small subunit ribosomal RNA", at positions 899 to 1397 of the family's 1533-position model. The record is from RNAcentral.
ACUCAAAUGAAUUGACGGGGGCCCGCACAAGCGGUGGAGCAUGUGGUUUAAUUCGACGCAACGCGAAGAACCUUACCUGGGCUCGAACGGCCUCUUAACGUUUGUGGAAACACAGAUAUCCCGCAAGGGAGUGGGGUCGAGGUGCUGCAUGGCUGUCGUCAGCUCGUGUCGUGAGAUGUUGGGUUAAGUCCCGCAACGAGCGCAACCCUUGUCCUGUGUUGCUAAUUUCGAAAGGAAUGCACUCUCAGGAGACCGCCAGCGAUAAGUUGGAGGAAGGUGGGGAUGACGUCAAGUCAUCAUGGCCUUUAUGUCCAGGGCUACACACGUGCUACAAUGGACGGUACAAACCGACGCCAACCCGCGAGGGGGAGCAAAUCGGAAAAAACCGUUCUCAGUUCGGAUCGCAGGCUGCAACUCGCCUGCGUGAAGCUGGAAUCGCUAGUAAUGGUAUAUCAGAACGAUACCGUGAAUACGUUCCCGGGCCUUGUACACACCGCCCGU